This 253-nucleotide ribosomal RNA is filed under the name uncultured bacterium. RNAcentral's name for it is "partial 16S ribosomal RNA". It matches the Rfam family "Bacterial small subunit ribosomal RNA", at positions 524 to 776 of the family's 1533-position model. The record is from RNAcentral.
UACGGGGGGGGCAAGCGUUGUUCGGAAUUACUGGGCGUAAAGGGCUCGUAGGCGGCCCUCUCAGUCGGAUGUGAAAUCCCCAGGCUUAACCUGGGAACGGCAUCCGAUACUGGAGGGCUUGAAUUCGGGAGAGGGAUGCAGAAUUCCAGGUGUAGCGGUGAAAUGCGUAGAUAUCUGGAGGAAUACCGGUGGCGAAGGCGGCAUCCUGGACCGGCAUUGACGCUGAGGAGCGAAAGCCAGGGGAGCAAACGGG